UGUAGCUCUGCGGUAGAGCAUUUGCCUGGGAUGCAUGAGGCCCUGGAUUCAAUCCCCAGUA
This 61-nucleotide transfer RNA is filed under the name Cavia porcellus (domestic guinea pig). It matches the Rfam family "tRNA", at positions 6 to 65 of the family's 71-position model. From Rfam's summary of the family: Transfer RNA (tRNA) molecules are approximately 80 nucleotides in length. Their secondary structure includes four short double-helical elements and three loops (D, anti-codon, and T loops). The record is from Rfam by way of RNAcentral. Lineage: Eukaryota; Metazoa; Chordata; Mammalia; Rodentia; Caviidae.